RNAcentral lists this long non-coding RNA (275 nucleotides) under Malus domestica (apple). RNAcentral describes it as "long non-coding RNA (MDOM_LNC020884)". The record is from RNAcentral. Lineage: Eukaryota; Viridiplantae; Streptophyta; Magnoliopsida; Rosales; Rosaceae.
AAGCCUCGACGGCCCUAGAAGAAAUCACAAGUCCGAUUCAAGAUUAAGUGUCUACCACCCUUGAAUCAAAACCUAGUUCAAGAAUAAGCUGUGGAAAAUCAACAAUUGGAGGAAUCUAGAAAAUCCUUCAACCCAGUUCAAGAUCAAAGCUGUGGAAAGUCAACAAAUCGCAACAAAAUACGUGUCGAUUCACCCACUACCAAAGCCAAAGAUCAUCUACCACAUGAAGCUCCUUGUGGUCCAAUUUCAACCUUCAAGAUCAAGCCUCGACGGCC